AGAGUUUGAUCCUGGCUCAGAACGUACGCUGGCGGCACGCCUAACACAUGCAAGUCGAACGAAGUAGCAAUACUUAGUGGCAGACGGGUGAGUAACAUGUGGGUAUCUACCCUUUGGCCUGGAAUAACACGAGGAAACUUGUGCUAAUACCGGAUAAGUCUUUACGGAGAAAGCUUUAUGCACCAUUGGAUGAGCCCGCACUUGAUUAGUUUGUUGGUAGGGUAAUGGCCUACCAAGACUAUGAUCAAUAGCUGAUUUGAGAGGAUGAUCAGCCACAUUGGGACUGAGACACGGCCCAAACUCCUACGGGAGGCAGCAGUGGGGAAUCUUGCACAAUGGAGGAAACUCUGAUGCAGCGAUGCCGCGUGAGUGAAGAAGGCCUUUGGGUUGUAAAGCUCUUUCGUCGGGGAAGAAAAUGACUGUACCCGAAUAAGAAGGUCCGGCUAACUUCGUGCCAGCAGCCGCGGUAAUACGAAGGGACCUAGCGUAGUUCGGAAUUACUGGGCUUAAAGAGUUCGUAGGUGGUUGAAAAAGUUGGUGGUGAAAUCCCAGAGCUUAACUCUGGAACUGCCAUCAAAACUUUUCAGCUAGAGUAUGAUAGAGGAAAGCAGAAUUUCUAGUGUAGAGGUGAAAUUCGUAGAUAUUAGAAAGAAUACCAAUUGCGAAGGCAGCUUUCUGGAUCAUUACUGACACUGAGGAACGAGAGCAUGGGUAGCGAAGAGGAUUAGAUACCCUCGUAGUCCAUGCCGUAAACGAUGUGUGUUAGACGUUGGAAAUUUAUUUUCAGUGUCGCAGGAAAACCGA
This 804-nucleotide ribosomal RNA is filed under the name uncultured bacterium. Its description in RNAcentral is "bacterial SSU rRNA". It matches the Rfam family "Bacterial small subunit ribosomal RNA", at positions 8 to 860 of the family's 1533-position model. The record is from RNAcentral.